GAAAAAUGUAGAGAGAGAAAGUUUGGGAGUGAGAGCAAGAAAGCCGCCGCCGAGAAUCUAAUCGGACCACCAUGUAAGUAGUUUCUAGCCACGAUCUAGGUGUAAGGACUCCUUGGAAGGAAGAAGAGGAUUUUGGUGAUCAGAGCUCCAUUUUUCUAUCAAGAAAAUUGAGAAUCCGUAAGAGGGAAUUCUCCAAAAGACGCACGAGGGAAACUAGUCAAAAUUCUUGUCCGAAGGCAAAGAUCUGAGCCGAUUUCCAAGAACGUUGGAGAGAAAAUUUCUCGGCGAGUCACGUGUCAACCGGCAAGAGGAGGAGAGCAUCGACGAAAAAGUGACACAUGUCACUCGGUGCGUGGAGCAGCGCGUCACAUACAGUGUUGAGCGACGCAACUCCAUACGACCAUCGACACGCAGCAACUCCGUCUGACCCACGGCACAACCCAAUAGACGAUCCAACCUGAAGCCUUUGGUCUAGUUGAUCCGCAGAACAAGCUGACUGAAUUGGACUGCAAACUGAACUGGCCCAGCGAACCGCAACUACAAACAACCUGCACAUGACACCUGCGACUAGACUUCGUCCGAGAACAUGGAGGCACGUGAGGAUGUGUGGCAACGCGUGAGGACACGUGGGAGCACGUGAGUUUCUGUUUGUCGUCCAUCCGACUUCUGUCCCGAUUCCAAUUCUGAUGAUGUUUUAUGCGAAUAUGACCUAAUAGGGAAAAUCAAUAUUUUUGGACACUCUAUUUGUGCAUAAACGCUGGCAAAAGGGCACAUGUCAACCAAGAAAGUCACCGCCUUGUAUUUAGGAAGAAAUAUUUGUAGGAUUCGCUUGGAUUACAUGCAUGCUAGUACAUUUGCCUUAGAUUAGUUUUCCAUGAAUGAGAUUAGGAAAAUUGAUUAUUAU
This is a long non-coding RNA of Cucurbita moschata (crookneck pumpkin), 904 nucleotides long. RefSeq lists it as uncharacterized. The record is from RefSeq and is a predicted model, not a curated record. NCBI's taxonomy places the organism in Eukaryota, Viridiplantae, Streptophyta, Magnoliopsida, Cucurbitales, Cucurbitaceae. The transcript is spliced from 2 exons.